RNAcentral lists this ribosomal RNA (2494 nucleotides) under uncultured Pelagophyceae. Its description in RNAcentral is "partial Bacterial large subunit ribosomal RNA". It matches the Rfam family "Bacterial large subunit ribosomal RNA". The record is from RNAcentral. Lineage: Eukaryota; Pelagophyceae.
UUGGUGAAUUGAAACAUCUUAUUAGCCAAAAAAAAAAUCAAGCGAGAUAUCGAAAUUAGUUGUGAACGAAAUCGAUUUAGGUUAUCGACGAUGUAUAUCUUUUUUUGAAUAGGUUAAAAAAGGUUAAAAUCCUGUAGGAAAAAGGUCUUCGUUUUCUAGUAUUGCGGUUUUACAGAAUUGCAUGAAAAUUGGAGUACCAUCUUCAACAUCUAAAAAGUCUUAAUAACAGAUAAAAAAAAGUACCGUGAGGGAAAGGAGAGAUAGAAUUUUUUGAAAACUAAAACUUAGUGCUGUUAGCAACUGAAGCUUUAUUAGUAACAGUAGUACCUUUUGCAAAAGGGAUCAACGAGUUUGCAUUUAAGGCGAGUUUAAGUUUUUGCGAUAAACGAAAUAAAAGUGUUUUAAACUAACCCGACAAGAUAGUCUUAUUUGCAAAACCCGAAACCAAGUGAUCUAACUAUGAACAAGCAGAAAAAUAUUGGGAAACUUUUAUUUAAAGGCUGAACUCGUGUAUGUUGCAAAAUACUGAGACGAUUUGUGGUUAGGAGUGAAAGGCUAAUCAAACUUGGAAUAGCUGGUUUUCUGCGAAAUUUAUUUUAGUAAAGCGUUUAAAACUAUUUUCUACGGUAGAGCUCUUUUUUAGUAUAGGGGGUUUAUUAAUCUACUAACCUAUUGAAAACUUCGAAUGUAGUUCUUUAGUUUUAAGCAGUCGGACGUAGAGUGAAAAGAUUCUAAUUCGUCAAAAGGGAUACAGCCCAGAUUAAACGUUAAGGACCUAAAAAAUUAAAAAGUAAAAGGAAGUUAUACAUUUAUUAGAUCUAGGAAAUAGGCUCGGAAGCAGCCACUUUAUAAUGAAAGCGUAAAAGCUCACUAGUUAAAACGUAUAGCGCCGAAAAUUUAAUGGGGUUUAAAUAAUUUUCCGAAACGGUAAGGCUCUUAAUUUUGGAGUUGGUAGCAGAAAUGUUCCGUAUGUUAGAAAAGUUAAAUUGUAAAAUUUAAUGAAAGCAUUGGAAGUAAGAAUGUUGAUAUGAGUAACAAUCAAGAAUGUGAAACAUUCUCGCCGCAAGUUUAAGGGUUUCAUACGUUCAGAUACACUUCGUAGAAAAGGUUUAUUCUUUAUAUUAUUCGGUCUCUAAGAAUAGGAGUGAAAACUUUUUUUGAUGAGUAUACAUAAUUACGAGAGUCGUUCUAGAAGUUGUGACAAAAAGGUUAUAUUUUUUCAAGAAAAUAUCUUAAAACAUUUUAUCUUUUUCAAGAAAUAGCACUUUUAGUUUUACCGUACUUAAUCCGAUACAGGUUAACUGGUUGAAUAUACUAAGGCGUUUGAGGAAAUUGUGUAAAAGGAACUCGGCAAAAUCGCUCUGUAACUUUGGAAGAAAGAGUAACUUUAUACUUGUUAUAAAGUUGUCACAAAAGAGGAAGAAGUAACUGUUUAACAAAAACACAGGUCUCCGCAAAUUCGUGAGAAGAAGUAUUGAGGCUGACAUCUGCCCGGUGCUGAAAAGUUAAGAAAAGGGGGUUUUAGCUUUCUUUUUAUGCUCCAGUAAACGGCGGUUUUAAUCUGAAAAUCCUAAGGUAGCGUAGUACCUUGCCGAAUAAUUAUCGGCUUGCAUGAAUGAUGUAAUAACUUCUUUACUGUCUCUUACACAAACUCAGUGAAAUUGGAAUGCUCGUGAAGAUACGAGCAAAUUAGCGAAAGGACAGAAAGACCCUUAGAUCUUUACUGCAUUUAUUUAUUGUACUUUUUUAUUUUUUUGUAUAGUGUAGGUGGUAACAAAUUAUUUGUAAUUUUGAAAGACCGCUCUUUAAAUAAAAAAGCACUAACUUUAUUUUUAUAGAAGAGAACACUUUAUAAUUGGUAGUUUUGCUGGGGUGGUAUCCUUUUAAAUUGUAACAAAGGAGUACAUAAGAUAAACUCAUAGAAGAUAGCUUUUAGUUGAGUGUAAUAGCAUAAGUUUAUUUGACUGUAAGAGCAACAACUCGAACAGAAGUGAAAGCUGGUUAUAGUGAUCCGACAAAUUUGAAUGGAAAAUUUGCCGCUUAACGAUUAAAAGAUACCUGAGGGAUAACGGCCUAAUUACUCUUAAGAGUUCCUAUUGCUGGAGUAGUUUGGGGCAUCGAUGUCGAUUCAUCAUAUCCUGAAGCUGAAAUUGGUUUCAAGGGUUCGGUUGUUCGCCGAGUAAUAUGGUACGUGAAUUGGGUUCAAAACGCCGUGAGGCAGUUUGGUCCUUAUCCUUCGCUAACAAAAGAAAACUGAAAAACCUAAUUCUUAGUACGAGAGGACCAGAGUAAGUAAACCUAUGGUUGAGCAAUUGUUUUUUAUAGCAUUGUUGCGCAGCUAAGUUUACGAUAGCUAAUUGCUGAAAGCAUCUAAGCAAGAAACUAAUUUUAAGACUUCAUGUUUUCUAGAUGUAAAAAAUGGUGAAAGAUUAUCACUUUGAUAGGUGUUUUGUAUAAAGAAUAGUAAUAUUUUUAGCAAGAACACACUAAAAUU